RNAcentral lists this ribosomal RNA (253 nucleotides) under uncultured bacterium. RNAcentral's name for it is "partial 16S ribosomal RNA". It matches the Rfam family "Bacterial small subunit ribosomal RNA", at positions 524 to 776 of the family's 1533-position model. The record is from RNAcentral.
UACAGAGGUCCCAAGCGUUGUUCGGAUUCACUGGGCGUAAAGGGUGCGUAGGUGGUGGUGUAAGUUUGGUGUGAAAUCUCCGAGCUCAACUCGGAAACUGCACUAAAUACUACAUUGCUGGAGGGUCGGAUGGGAGACUGGAAUUCUCGGUGUAGCAGUGAAAUGCGUAGAUAUCGAGAGGAACACCAGUGGCGAAAGCGAGUCUCUGGACGACUCCUGACACUGAGGCACGAAAGCUAGGGGAGCAAACAGG